CCUACGGGAGGCAGCAGUGGGGAAUAUUGGGCAAUGGGCGCAAGCCUGACCCAGCAACGCCGCGUGAAGGAAGAAGGCUUUCGGGUUGUAAACUUCUUUUCUCAGGGACGAAGCAAGUGACGGUACCUGAGGAAUAAGCCACGGCUAACUACGUGCCAGCAGCCGCGGUAAGACGUAGGUGGCAAGCGUUAUCCGGAUUUACUGGGUGUAAAGGGCGUGUAGGCGGGAAAGCAAGUCAGAUGUGAAAACCAUGGGCUCAACCUGUGGCCUGCAUUUGAAACUGUUUUUCUUGAGUACUGGAGAGGCAGACGGAAGUCCUAGUGUAGCGGUGAAAUGCGUAGAUAUGAGGAGGAACACCAGUGGCGAAGGCGGUCUGCUGGACAGCAACUGACGCUGAGGCGCGAAAGCGUGGGGAGCAAACAGGAUUAGAUACCCUGGUAGUC
RNAcentral lists this ribosomal RNA (443 nucleotides) under uncultured bacterium. RNAcentral describes it as "partial 16S ribosomal RNA". It matches the Rfam family "Bacterial small subunit ribosomal RNA", at positions 338 to 795 of the family's 1533-position model. The record is from RNAcentral.